GGCCUUCCCAGACUUAAAAGAGCGGCUGAGGCGUAAGCAGCUGGCGGCUGGUGACAUCGCCCUGGACAAGCUAGGGGAAAGGCUAGCCAUCCUCCUCAAGGUGCGAGACAUGGUCAGCAGCCAUGUGGAGCGAGUGUUUCAGAUCUAUGAGCAACACGCAGACACAGUUGGCAUUGAUGCUGUCCUGCAGCCUUCAGCAGUGAGCCCCUCUGUGGCUGACAUGUUGGAAUGGUUGCAGGAUAUUGAGAGACAUUAUCGAAAGUCAAAGGUACCUGAAGAGAAAGUAUCUUCUUUCGUCUAUCCAGUGGGGAGACUUGGCAAAUAUACAAGCUUUGCCCAAGGCCUGGGACCGAAUUUCAAAAGACGAACACCAAGAUCUUGUACAAGAUAUCCUAUUGAAUGUUUCCUUCUUCCUGGAAGAGUAAGGAAGCUGUGCGUAUCUGGAGACCACGGGCACCACAGUUGAAGACUGACAUUCUGAACCCUGAUGUUUCUAAAGAAACGUCAGUAUUUCAGUCUGACAUAUUUGAAAUAUCAGUGCCUUGAACCUUAGGACUGGGUCUUGGGGAGGAUUAGCGCCUAGAUGUCUGAUUUUGGAGCUGCAGCAUGCCAGGCCGUGGCUGAGAGUAUGUGAGCCAUGCCUUGCCCUUUUCUGAGGCUCAGGGAAGUGGAUGGAGCUAGAGAGACAACAGGAAAGACGGUGCUGAAGAACAUAGUGUCUUUCCUCUAUUGUGGACCUGAAGAUGUGGGGAAGCAAGGACAAGAGGCAAAGAGCCACACUGCCCUUGGCAUCAUCCAAAGCAUUGUCUGGU
RNAcentral lists this small RNA (812 nucleotides) under Pan troglodytes (chimpanzee). RNAcentral's name for it is "processed transcript". The record is from RNAcentral. Lineage: Eukaryota; Metazoa; Chordata; Mammalia; Primates; Hominidae.